UACGGAGGAUGCGAGCGUUAUCCGGAUUUAUUGGGUUUAAAGGGUGCGUAGGCGGGCUGUUAAGUCAGCGGUCAAAUGUCGGGGCUCAACCCCGGCCUGCCGUUGAAACUGGCGGCCUCGAGUGGGCGAGAAGUAUGCGGAAUGCGUGGUGUAGCGGUGAAAUGCAUAGAUAUCACGCAGAACUCCGAUUGCGAAGGCAGCAUACCGGCGCCCUACUGACGCUGAGGCACGAAAGCGUGGGUAUCGAACAG
RNAcentral lists this ribosomal RNA (251 nucleotides) under uncultured bacterium. RNAcentral's name for it is "partial 16S ribosomal RNA". It matches the Rfam family "Bacterial small subunit ribosomal RNA", at positions 524 to 775 of the family's 1533-position model. The record is from RNAcentral.